This is a long non-coding RNA of Syzygium oleosum, 511 nucleotides long. RefSeq lists it as uncharacterized. The record is from RefSeq and is a predicted model, not a curated record. The transcript is spliced from 2 exons. Lineage: Eukaryota; Viridiplantae; Streptophyta; Magnoliopsida; Myrtales; Myrtaceae.
GGGGAGAGCGGUUGCCGGGACUGAGUUCGCCGGCGGCGAGACAUCGUAACGGUGGAGGAUCUUGAUCUGCAUCAUCUCCUCCGACGGUGAAGGGGACAUUCAAGCUAAUCCAAAAUAUCCAAAGAUAACCGGAAGUUCAGUGAGAGAUGAAUUGGUCUCGAGAAAGAGCACAACACUCUAAAUUGCUAAGCGAAAAGUCCGGACAAAUCUUACAAAAAAUCUGGUACGUGGGCCGGCAAGAACCCACCAGAUCCUCGAGUGUUCAUAGAGAAGUCAAUCAUGUCUGCUGGAAAAAAUCUUGUAAAUAAAGUCUAAAAUCGGUGCAUCUAAGUCGUGGGAUAUCACUAUAGAUAGAGCCUGCGCUAAUUUGUGUUGUGCGCAGGGCAUUGUCCUCCACAGUCCACCAUGAGCAGGGAGCAUUGAAAUGAUCUCCAUAUCAGGUAGCUCUCCCAUCGACACCUCCUUCAAUUAUUGCAAAACUAUUUCUAUAAACUAGUGAAACUAUUAUUGU